UUCUUCGAUCAAUGACCACAGAGCAUCCUCUUCUUCUCCUCUACACAGUAGAGCGUCGACGACCAUGUGCAGAGAGCAAAUCAGGAGGGAUGAUCUGGAGUCUCUUGGCUAUAUGAUUAUGUAUUUUCUUCAAGGAAGCUCCAUCAGGUUGUGGACUCUAAGUGGCGAAGUUCUAAGUCACGACUCUUCACCAAGGUGGUUUGUUUGGUACAGUGGAGUACCA
Molecule: long non-coding RNA, 223 nt
Organism: Brassica oleracea var. oleracea
Lineage: Eukaryota; Viridiplantae; Streptophyta; Magnoliopsida; Brassicales; Brassicaceae
Exons: 3
Source: RefSeq, a predicted model, not a curated record